Molecule: long non-coding RNA, 453 nt
Organism: Alligator sinensis (Chinese alligator)
Lineage: Eukaryota; Metazoa; Chordata; Crocodylia; Alligatoridae
Exons: 3
Source: RefSeq, a predicted model, not a curated record
CCCUCCCCGCGCUGUGCAGCAGUUUCCCCGGGGGCCUGCAGGGCCGGGGGGCCUUGGGGGGCCGGGCGGUGAGCAGGCCUCGGCCCCCCAGACCCGGCGGAGCUGGGGCCCUGCCUCUUCGCGGAGACGCUGGCGCUGGUGGAUCUGGGCGGGCGCCCGUGCGGGGAGCUGCAGCUCUCGGCCCAGCUGGGCUCCUACGGGCACCCGGACGGGCGGGACGAGGCCUGUGUGCUGGUGCGGGCCAGGAGCCAGGCCAGCGUGGACGGCGCACCCUGCGGCACCUCCCUGCACGCCUUCGUGUCCAAGAAGCUGGAGACCCUGGAGCAGCACCAGCACGAGUAUGUGAAGCUGCCCGGGCACCCCAUGGACAGGACGACACAGCUGGUGCAGCGCGGGGGCAAGAUCCUCAUCAGCUGCAACACGGUGGAGGGAGAGGUGAAGGGGAGCCCCCGG